This 2282-nucleotide long non-coding RNA is filed under the name Nicotiana benthamiana. RNAcentral's name for it is "long non-coding RNA (NBEN_LNC040981)". The record is from RNAcentral. Lineage: Eukaryota; Viridiplantae; Streptophyta; Magnoliopsida; Solanales; Solanaceae.
UUAAUAAUUUGCAAACGAAUGCACAAUUUACUCUCAACCUGGAGUUUUUUAACAACUUUCAGUUUCAAAUGAUACACCUUGAGAUGGUGCAAUUAUAGACUGAACAUGAAAGUGACUACUGGAGUUCUCACUUUGUUUCUGAACCAUUUUAAACAAAACAUAUCUUGUUACUAUUACAUUAAACACAUGAUGAACAACCACAAGCAUCUGAACGUUACUUUUGGACUCGACUUUCAAACGGUACCCUAACCUAAGGUUAAAUCUCAGACUAAUAUAAUAGUGUGAACUGAAAUUAGCAACAUUCACUAUUCUACUUAUAAUACUCAUUUAAGUCUGUAAUGCAGUCCGAUUAGCACAAACAAUGUAAUGUCUAAAUAACUAUAAUUAUAACAUGUGUUUAAACUGAAGUAGACUGCUAAGAAAUUCAUAAAAAAAGCAUAUUGUAUUUCAGGGUCUCUUCCAAUAUUGAUCAUACACUUGACUCAAGUUUCACAUGUCAUUUGAGGCUGAAAAAGUACCUGGAGAUUGAAGCAAAAUGUGAUGAAACAAGAAUCAGCAAGUAGCAAUGAAACAACAACAGUUCCGAAUUAAUUCCAACCAGGAAAUGUUAUCAAAUAACUCAGGAAGUGAUUUUAAUCGAAUAACACCAGCAAACAAAUCCAAAAUCAGCUUGAAUGACCAAAUUGAAAUUCAGAAAUCAACCAGGAGCUCAUGAAAACCUUAACUGGUGAAAAACAAGGAGAAUUCAACCCAUUUUUUCGAUUCUAGAUAGGCUAAGGAUUAAGCUGAGAGUUCGGACUUCAAAAAUCCCCCAAGGUUCAAUGGAAUAGUGAUGUUUUUGCAAUUUCAGUUGCCUCAAGUGUUCAGAAUCCUUCCGUAAAAGAAAAAAACUCUUCCAAAGGCCAGGUUGGAAUGCCCUUUUAUAAACAACGUCUAGGGCAACCUUCAGAUUUUAGUUUACACCCUAAGUCCCUCUUUUAUUUUAAGAUUUUGGUUAAUUAGUCCCUUAGUUAUUGGCUUGUUGGCAAAGUAACACUACCAACUCCCUGAAAUCUUAAUUAAAGCCCAAUCUAGAAGGUUCUAGGGAAUUCCAAAUUAGUUACUGCAGGAUUUCUUAUUUUGAGGAUUGCCUACACUACCCCCAUCCUUGCCCCUGAAUUACUAAACCAUUCCAAACUAAAGCCCCAACCCUUGGUCAAAACUGACCAUAGUUAACUAAUACAAUCCUGUAAAUGUUCAGCACCAAUCAAUCAAUACUUCAAUUAACAAAGUUAAUUAAACCUAUUCUUAAUCCUAAAUUAAUCAUUAUCAGUUCAAAUUAGCAACUAUUGGGCAAUUAUGCAUUAAACAGGAAUCUAUGGAUAUAAACAGAAUUAAUCAUAUAUUCAAUCACUGAAUCAUGAAUCUAACAUUAACACUCAAGAUAUGAAUCAAACGAAAUCAGGAAAGGAAACUAAACUUAACAAGAAAAAUCUAAGAAAACUAGGAAGAAAAUUCUAAUGAACAAAACAUGAACGAAUAAUAAAAACAUAAAAAGAAAAUUCUAGGAGCAGACAGAAUUAAUUAUAAGAUUCUCUAAAUUACAUACUAGAGAAAAAGAAUCAAUACGAAACUGAACAAAAGCUAAAAAAGAUAAGCAAAACAGUAAAGAAAUACAAGAAGAAGAAACUUACGCAAACUCAAAUUGAUCUCGACUGACUUUGAACUUGAUCCCCAGGUGAUGUUAUUUGCCUAUUCUUUGUCAAAAAUAGGCAAAUAACAUCAUAUAAGGAUCAACCUACCACUGAGAAACAUCCAAGCACUAAAAUCCCCAAAGACCCUAAAUCGAAACCCUAGAUCUAGGAUUCGAGCAAUUCUGGUUGGAUUUGAGGGAAAUUGGUUUAGGAUUUGGGAAGAAGAGGGUUAGGAGACUGUUGGGUUUUAAUUUGGAGUGGUUUGGAAAAUGGUGAGACUUUGGCCGGGAUUUCCAUUUGAUAUUCGAUAAAUUCAGCGCAUGUUCAAGGACUAGGACUUACAGAUUUGGGACGAGAGGAGUUUGGUGGCCAUGUGGUGUUCUUUUGGAGUCGUUUGUCGACGGCGCCGCCGCACACGGCGGAGCAGCAACCACUUUGAUUGAAUAUUUGACAAGCUUGGCUGCCAUUCGAGGGACACCAAGCCUAGAUUUGGAUAGAGGAGGUCGAGGAGGUGGGAUGGUGUAAUUUUGGGGGUCAUCGUAGAAUCGCCGCCGGUGGAGGGUGGUGGUGUGUAUAGGGGUGUGAGAGACAGGGUACGAGGUUUAUUUU